AAUAGUUAAUUAAUUGAGUAAUUUUUUUUGUUGAGGAUUAAGGUAUGUUAAUUUUUGUUUUGGUCAUUAUUGUUGUAGAUCCAGUCGGAAGGACUUUUGUGUUUUCGAGUGUAUGUAAUAGAAUCCUAGUAUGACAAGCAAACUCGCUAGCGUUUCUUAGCCUUGUAUGACAAGUGUCACGGGGCUAAUUUUCGCAAAAUUAACACCUUGUAAUAGAAUCCUAGUAUGACAAGGAAAGUCGCUAGUGUUUCUUAGCCUUACCAGUAGUACUAAUACUGUUUUUAUUUCUCUUAUUCCUAGUUUGUUAGUACUAUAUGCGACAUUUGCUCCUAUUGCAUUGUCAUUGUUACUGUUUGUUACUAUAUUUUUAUUAUUCCUUUAUCUAAGAGUCUAUCCGAAACAACCUCUCUAUUUUUACGAGACAAGGAAAAGAUUUGCAC
Molecule: long non-coding RNA, 440 nt
Filed under: Nicotiana benthamiana
Lineage: Eukaryota; Viridiplantae; Streptophyta; Magnoliopsida; Solanales; Solanaceae
Description: long non-coding RNA (NBEN_LNC005181)
Source: RNAcentral